RNAcentral lists this ribosomal RNA (447 nucleotides) under uncultured bacterium. RNAcentral describes it as "bacterial SSU rRNA". It matches the Rfam family "Bacterial small subunit ribosomal RNA", at positions 355 to 825 of the family's 1533-position model. The record is from RNAcentral.
UCGGGAAUUUUGGGCAAUGGGCGAAAGCCUGACCCAGCAACGCCGCGUGAAGGAUGAAGUAUUUCGGUAUGUAAACUUCGAAAGAAUAGGAAGAAUAAAUGACGGUACUAUUUAUAAGGUCCGGCUAACUACGUGCCAGCAGCCGCGGUAAUACGUAGGGACCAAGCGUUGUUCGGAUUUACUGGGCGUAAAGGGCGCGUAGGCGGCAAUUCAAGUCAUCUGUGAAAUCUCCGGGCUUAACUCGGAACGGUCAGAUGAUACUGCUUUGCUAGAGUGCAGAAGGGGCAAUCGGAAUUCUUGGUGUAGCGGUGAAAUGCGUAGAUAUCAAGAGGAACACCAGUGGCGAAGGCGGCUCACUGGAUCGGUACUGACGCUGAGGUGCGAAAGCGUGGGGAGCAAACAGGAUUAGAUACCCCCGUAGUCCCUGAGCGGGCUGGCAAGGCGCAU